GUAGGGAAUAUUGGGCAAUGGAUGCAAGUCUGACCCAGCCAUCCCGCGUGCCGGAAGAAGGCCCUCAGGGUUGUAAACGGCUUUUGACGGUGAAGAAUCGACAGGAUGCGUCCUGUUUUGACGGUAGCCGUUGAAUAAGCACCGGCUAACUCCGUGCCAGCAGCCGCGGUAAUACGGAGGGUGCGAGCGUUGUCCGGAUUUAUUGGGUUUAAAGGGUGCGUAGGCUGGAAGGUCAGUCAGCUGUGAAAAGCUGUCGCUUAACGAUAGUCUUGCCGCAGAUACUUCCUUUCUUGGAUGAGGAGGAGGCCACUGGAACGGAUGGUGUAGCGGUGAAAUGCAUAGAUAUCAUCCAGAACACCGAUUGCGAAGGCAGGUGGCUGUACCUUAAUCGACGCUGAUGCACGAAAGCAUGGGGAGCAAACAGGAUUAGAAACCCCAGUAGUCC
Molecule: ribosomal RNA, 445 nt
Filed under: uncultured bacterium
Lineage: Bacteria
Description: partial 16S ribosomal RNA
Rfam family: Bacterial small subunit ribosomal RNA
Source: RNAcentral